Molecule: transfer RNA, 81 nt
Organism: Gloeobacter violaceus PCC 7421
Lineage: Bacteria; Bacillati; Cyanobacteriota; Cyanophyceae; Gloeobacterales; Gloeobacteraceae
Rfam family: tRNA
About the family: Transfer RNA (tRNA) molecules are approximately 80 nucleotides in length.
Source: Rfam
GCCGGUGUGGCGAAAUGGUAGACGCAAACGACUCAAAAUCGUUCGCCGAAAGGCAUGUCAGUUCGACUCUGACCACCGGCA